UUAGCAGGUCAUUUAAUGGGUCAUUUAGCAGGUCAUUUAGCAGGUCAUUUAAUGGGUCAUUUAGCAGGUCAUUUAAUGGGUCAUUUAACAGGUCAUUUAACAGGUCAUUUAACAGGUCAUUUAACAGGUCAUUUAGCAGGUCAUUUAACAG
This is a long non-coding RNA of Oncorhynchus keta (chum salmon), 151 nucleotides long. RefSeq lists it as uncharacterized. NCBI's taxonomy places the organism in Eukaryota, Metazoa, Chordata, Actinopteri, Salmoniformes, Salmonidae. The record is from RefSeq and is a predicted model, not a curated record. The transcript has 3 exons.